UUAAGAAGCAUCUAGUGUGACUCCACUAGGAGCCACAGGUGUGGGUCCCAGGCUUGUGGAGUUCAGAAUCACUCCUGGUCUACCCUUGUCCUGCUUCUCUUUGGGGAGACCUUGGCCUUCCGACCCCGGUGUGGCUUUGGCCUCAGAUCCUCUCCCUGUGGUUUGGCUUCUGGAUGGCCAGAGCUCUUUCGUUCUUGGGUUGUUAUCUGUUGAGACUUGGUUUGCUUUCAGAUUAACUUCUCGGUUUGGCCUGAUGAACUGUUGGGCUGCCCGGCUCCCACCCGUGUGUGCCAGGCUGCGGCGGGGCAAGGUCUUACCUCCCCCUUGGCUAAGAAGCCCAUUCUGGAGGGUUCUCAGACUAUAGACUUUGCCACAUUGACCCUGGAUGCAACUUGGUUUCUCAGGGCUGAUCUCCUUUGGGGACAUCCUAGUCUCUCCUGUGGAAGAAAACUUCCCAAAUCCCUUCUGACAUUCCACCUGGGUCUCACUGCCCACCCGGUUCAGUCUGGCCCUAACAAGGCUCCUCCUGCCAAUAGGAGGGUCUACAGCAUGUGCUCUCUGGUCAGGCCGUGGGUGGGGCUGGUCUGUAGGGAUCCAAUCACAGGCAAGCGGGUGGGAGUGCUCACCUACUGCGGGCGCAGCUUCCGCUCCCACGCCACAUCACGGCAGAGGGGGCGGAGCAUCUCUGCACACGUGGCCUGCCCCUCCACCGUCAACUGCGUGUUGGAGGCGGAGCUUCUUACACACGGCCCUGAGCUGAGGUGUAGGGCCGCCAUUUUGCACCAGGCUUCCUGGUCGGAGGUGUGUGGCACGAGGUCUCUGCACGUGGUGCCUGGGUAGCCAGCCGACUAGACUCAGCACAGGGGAAACAAGGUGAGGGCUCAGCGGGAAGAUGAGGACAAGAGCUCGUGGAACACUGGAUCUGCCGGACCUUGAUCUUGGAUGUCCAGCCCCCAGAGCUGUGAAAACGCGAGGGGCCUUCCGGAGGGGCCCAUGGAACCACGGGGACGGGCAGGGACAUGUGUGCAGGCAGCACUGUCUCCUCCCCCGAGGCAGCAGGGAAAUUCACAGAAUCCACUCCCGCACUCCACCAUGCCUGCCUCUGGACUCGCCUCCAAGGACGGCAGAGUGCUGAGAUGGUAGCCAGAAGCACUGACCCUCCCUCUGAAGCGCAUUCAUUUACAAAGCGUCUGUUUUAACAAAGCCUCUGUCACAAACUACAUCUUGUGUCCUAACUCAAGCCUUCAGCCACAAGUGUGUCACUGGGAACAAAGCCAUAUGGAGCGAUGGGGACAAAGGACUUCUCAUUUCUGGUAAUUUCUGAGCUCUGCAAGAUCCACAGCAGGUGCAAACAGCCUGACUUCCUACUGAAUUCAGCAGUUUCUUCACUAAUGGACAACAAUUCCAUUCAAGCUGGAGCAGUCACUGUGACCACAUCUUUAGUGGCAGACUUAAAAGCUAGUUUGCUUUUUGGCAGAAAUCACUUUCUAAGAUAUGAAAUAACCUUGUCUUUCAAGUUUAGUCUUUUAACACCUUAAAAAAGUUAUCCCCACCCCCAACCAGACACAUUGAGUAAAGUUACCCACUGACUUUGCAUGAAAAGACCUGUGUUGUAGGAGGGCUGACCCUAGGUCUCCAGCCUGGAGCCCCUAGGAUUUCUUCCUCUUCCUCUGGAAGGCCCUAGAUCAGCCUGGUAUGGCAGAGACUCCCGAGCUAUUUCAGUUUCCCCUCUGAAUUCCCUGGUUUCCAGGCCAGGCAUCCCCGUUCCUCCUAGGGGCACCCUCACCUGUUCA
Molecule: long non-coding RNA, 1793 nt
Organism: Bubalus bubalis (water buffalo)
Lineage: Eukaryota; Metazoa; Chordata; Mammalia; Artiodactyla; Bovidae
Exons: 4
Source: RefSeq, a predicted model, not a curated record